This 253-nucleotide ribosomal RNA is filed under the name uncultured bacterium. Its description in RNAcentral is "partial 16S ribosomal RNA". It matches the Rfam family "Bacterial small subunit ribosomal RNA", at positions 524 to 776 of the family's 1533-position model. The record is from RNAcentral.
UACGUAGGGUGCGAGCGUUAAUCGGAAUUACUGGGCGUAAAGCGUGCGCAGGCGGUUUUGUAAGCCAGAUGUGAAAGCCCCGGGCUCAACCUGGGAAUGGCAUUUGGGACUGCAAGGCUUGAGUGCGGCAGAGGAGACUGGAAUUCCUGGUGUAGCAGUGAAAUGCGUAGAUAUCAGGAGGAAUACCGAUGGCGAAGGCAGGUCUCUGGGCCGCAACUGACGCUGAGGAGCGAAAGCAUGGGGAGCGAACAGG